RNAcentral lists this long non-coding RNA (39216 nucleotides) under Ananas comosus (pineapple). RNAcentral describes it as "long non-coding RNA (ACOM_LNC031653)". The record is from RNAcentral. Lineage: Eukaryota; Viridiplantae; Streptophyta; Magnoliopsida; Poales; Bromeliaceae.
AAAUCUUUAUACUUAUCCUUUUUAAUUUUAAUACUAAGAACAUACGAGACCUCAUCUAAAUCUUUCAUUUUAAAACUUUUAAAAGAAAUUUUUUUACUUCAUGCAAUAACCCAAGAUCAUUACUGGCAGACAAAAUAUUAUCAACAUAUAAAGAAUUAAACAAAUUAUUGUACUCUCACCGACCUUCAAAUAAAUAUAUUGAUCAAAAAUAUUUUCUUUAAAACCAAAGACCAAAUAGGUUUGUUAAACUUUAAAUACCAUUGCCGGGAGGCUUGUUUUAGUCCGUAUAUUAAUUUCUUUAAUUUGCAUACUAAGUGUUCGUUUUCCUUUUGUACGAAUCCUUCGGGCUGAUUUAUAUACAUCUCUUCAUAAAUAUCUCUAUUUAAAAAGACAAUCUUAGUACCCAUCUGGUAUAGCUCGAGAUCGAAAUGAGCAACCAGAACCAUAAUAACAAAUUCUUUUUAGAUAUCGGAGAGAAAGUCUCUUUAUGGUCAAUACCUUCUUACUGAGUAAACUCUUUUGCCACAAGACAGGCAUUAUAUCGCUCUAUAUUACCUUUCAAGUCCUAUUUGGUUUCAUAAAUCCACUUGCAUUAGACAGGUUCAACUUCUAUAGGUAACUCAAUAAGAUUUCAUACUUUAUUGUGGUUCAUGGUUCAAUCUUAUUUUUCAUGACAUUGUAUCAUUACGUAGAAUUACAACUAUUUAUGGCUUAAAAAAACUAAGAGGAUCAUCUAAGUUUUGGUCAUUCUUAUAAAGAUAGAUAAUAUAAUCACUAGAUAUAAUCGGUCUUCUUAGUUUUAAGUAUCUUCUUAAAUCUAUCUAAUUAUCUACUUAUACAAAUUGUAAGGACAAUUGUAAGGACAAUAGUAGAUCUGCUCUGUGUAGAAUCUGAAUGCUCUUGAAUUUUCUCAAUUUCAACAAAUCAAGGUUCAAAGCUCCCACUGACAGUUUCAUUCUCAAUAAACCGUGCCAUUUCAAUUUUUGCAAUUUUUAUAGUAAGUGAUGGACAGUAAAACUUAUAACUCUUGGACCUUUCUAAAUAACGAAUAAGAUAUCACGAUCUGGUGCGAGGAUCUAAUUUCUUUAUUUGUGGGUCAUACAAUUUAGUCUCAGUUUGACAACUCUAUGUAUGAAAAUAUCUCAAACUGGAUUUCCUACCUAUCCAAAGCUCAAAAGGAGUCUUAAUUGUGGCCUUAGUAGGGACACUAUUAAAAAUAUAUAGGGCGGUUUUAUGUGCCUCACCCCACAGUAAUAUCAAAAUGGAUAGAAUUACUGAUUAUAAUCCUGAGCAUAUCAAUUAAUGUGUGGUUUAUUCUUUCAAUAACACUAUUCUGAUUAUUCGUCCCUAGUAUGGUAUAUUGUAGAACAAUUCCAUACUACUUUUGAAACUUAGUAAAAGGCCCUGAAACUUAGUAAAAGGCCUAGGGACUUGCCCUUAUUUGUUUGUCUACCAAAAUAAUCACAACCCAUAUCUAAUCUGAUUACUUUUAUCUCUCUCUCUAGUUGAUUCUCCAUUUCAGCUUUAUAUAUCUUAAAAACAUCUAAUGUUUUAGAUUUCAUUUCUUUUUAAGUAAAGAUAGCACUAUCAAGAGUAGUCAUCAAUAAAUUAAAUGUGAUAAAAUAUUCACGGCCAGUAAACGAGGGACGAAGAGAUAUGUAUUUAAUAUUCCAUCACAUUUUUUAGCACCUUUAAAGGAGGUUUUUGUAUGCUUUCUCUUGAUGCAGUCCACACACAUUUCAAAAUCAGAGAAGUCAAGGUCAUCCAAUUUGCCUUUGUUGAUUAACCUUUAAAUUCUCUAUUUUGAGAUGUGUCUCAACCUCUUAUACCAUAAUAUGCAUUACUUUCUAUUAUUAAUGCCACAUUUUGAUCUAACAUUUUCAUGUAUGGUAAGAAAGAUUUCUCUACAUGAAUGAUCUUAAAAUACUUUAUAUAAAUUAUUUUCUAAAACAGCAAAACUAUCUCAAACUUGUAAGAUAAUGAAAAAACUUUAUUAUUAAAACUGAAACUAUAUCUCAAACCAACAAAUUUCGAAAUAGAAAUUAAAUUCUUAAAAAAAAAAUUUGAACACAAAAUGUAUUAACUAAAUCCAACAUAUGAUCACUAGAAAGAAUUAAUCUAAAUGUUCCCACAAAUUCAACUUUAGUUGAAUUUCCUUCAGUAGUGUAAUUUCCUUUAGUAGUGUAGACAGUGACUUCAUCUUUACUGAGUUUCUGUAGUUCACAAAUUCCUGCACAGAAUUUGCCAACAUGAUAUGUAAGAUCAGAGUCAAUUCACCAUGUAUUAGAUAGAACAGUAACAAAAUGCAACUUAUGCAUCAAAACCAAAAACUUAUCUUUCUUCUGGAGCUAUUUUUAAUACUUCUGACAGUUCUUCAUAUGACUCAUGUUCUUGCAAAGAAAGCAUUUGGGAUACUUAAUUGGCUUUGUGAACCAUAGUUACCAUACAGGACUUUUUUGUUCUUUUUUUUGAGUCAUUUUUAUCCUUUCUAUUCGUAGGCUUCGUUUGGUUUGGGUAUAAGUAAAAACUGCUUAUUUCAAAGAUAGAUACAAAUUCAGGUAUAAACAAGAACUAAACUAAUUUUCCGUUUGGCUGAAAAUUGUGUUGUUCCCGAGAUUAAGAAAAAUAGCGUUUGGUUAGAUAAGAUGGAAUAAUAAGAAUAGUGAGUAGUUAUAAAUAGAAAAUAAUGAUAUUAUCCCUCUCAUUAUACUUGAAUUUAAAUUUUAGAUUUUAAAUUUUAAAUUUUGAAAUUAAAGUUUAAAUUUUAACAUCUCAAAUUUUAAAAUUUAAAAUUUAAAAUUCAACAAUUUUAAUUUAAGAUCAAAUUUAAAUUUGAAAAUUAUAAAAUAUCAAAAUUUAAAUUUAAAAAAUAUAAAAUAUCAAAUUUUAAAUUUGAAAAUUUUUAAAUAUCAAAUUUUAAAUUUAUAUUUUAAAAUUUAAAAUUUAUAAUUUAAAAUUAUAAAUUUUAAUUUGAGAUUACAAAUUAUAAAUUUGAAAAUUUAAAUUCUAAUUUAAAACAAACCUCCCUCUCUCUCUCUCUCUCUCUCCAAUCUCUCUCUCUCUCGUCUAGGGGUUAAUGUGGAACAAGCUCACGGACGGGUUAUCCAGGAUAACCCGUUAAGGUUGAACUGUUGUUCCCUUCGUUUUUUUUUAUUUGGGUACAAACAAGGAAUAAGUCUUAUUCCUCCCUAUCCCGCAGGGACAACCAAGCACACGCUAGUGCGCUUUAUUAUCCUUUUGAAUAAAGCAAAAUUAAUUGUAUUUUGUUAUUUUCUUAGAUUACCCAUUUAUUUCGCUCUUGCCGCCACUACAAAGUCAAUAAUUUAUUGAAUAACUUUUUAUCCUUAUGUAUUGGUAAGGACUCGAGAUUUUUUGCAUUAUAGCUAAACUCUCAAUUGAUGAUGUUUUUGGUGUGUAAUUUUAAUCUUACAAAACAGCUCGUCAGUUUACGGGCGAAAUCGAGCUUAAACACGGAAAUUCUAACUCGCGAUCUCCAAGUUUCCACUUAAGUGAUCGUAACAUCGAUUUUCCCGGAGAAAGCCGCGGUGAGAAGCUGGCUUCUGGGCGUCGUACCGGACUCUGUUUCAUUGAGCAGUCCAAUAGCUCUUUGCGACCGGCUCAGUCUGUUCUGGAACUAAUGACCUGACAGGAUUUUGGUUGACCGCCGGUUUUCGGAUCCAAAAAUCCACUUCUUAAUAUGCUAUUUCGGUGUGUUUUCUUCUCUUGAAGGAAGGUUGGAUUUUGUCGUGAACUCCGUGUCACAUCAAGACGAAAAACGAAAUCGUAGGCUUGUUAUGUCUCCCGUGGUGGCUGAUCGCACCGGUGCAAUCGUUCGCUAAAUCUGACGGAGCGGAUCUGCAGAGAUCUGCGUUGAUCGAGAGAGGUCGUAGUGGCACAAAAAUGUAUUUUCGCGAAGUCGCAACAUUUUAUGUACGCCGUUUUGCGUGAGAUCGACGUGGAGGGGCGCGUAUAUCGCAUGCUACCACGCGUUUAGUCGUUCGGUGGGAAGCACUCGGAUUGAAUUCCGAUGCAUCUUGGUGAUACUGCAUUUGCAAGUUGCGCGCUCCGGUAGAAUUUAUAGUUGCUGUUAGGUUUGCUACUAGAGAACCAUAACCCUAGCCUUGCCCUAGCCACGACGGCCUCCCUCUCCUUUCCCUGCAGCCUGCUGCAUGCGCGCCCCCAAGCGCCAGCGCCGCAGACUGAGCCCCGCCGGCGUCAAUCCGCCGCUCGCAGCCUCUAACUCCUCUCCCCCGCCGCCUCUCUUUCUCUCUGUCCCUUUUCCUUGUUCUCUCCUCGGUUGUGAGGAACCCGAGACGCCGCCACCUUCGGAUCGCCUCCCGAGUCACUCUAGCCGUCUCCGGCGACUUUCCCGCCGACGUCAACCGUCGCCUACCUCAGCGCAGGCCGCAACGCGUCCACCGCGCUGCAGGCGCGACGCAGCCGACCCUGCCAGAGGGCGCCCGGCAGCCCCGCGGCGCGCCAGCCGACCGCUGAUAUCCUGCCCACUGACCAGCGACGCCCACACCAGCCGUGCCGGGUGUUCCGCAGUCGCCGGUCGCCGCCGCCCCGGCGCGCAGCCGCCAGCACGCCUCGUCCAGCCCGCAGUCCGCUCGCCAGACGCCGCUCGGCCGAGCGAGCGUGGCGACUUUGUCCACCUCAUGCGUCGCCGCCGCCCUGGGCCGCCCCUGUGGCACCUCCCCGACCAUCUGGGGCACAGUCAAGCGCCGCCCUACUGCCUCGAGCCGCCGGGCUAGCGAGCAGCCGGCUCAGGGCCGCGCGAGCCGCCUGCAGCCACUCAAGACGGUUGUGUUUUCUUCUCUUGAAAGGAAGGUUGGAUUUUUGUCGUGAAUCCGUUGGUCAAUCAAGACGAAACGAAAUCGUAGCUUUGUUGUCUCCGUGGUGCUGAUCCGCACCGGUGCAAUCCGUUCGCAAAUCUGACGGACGGAUCUGCAGAGAUCGCGCGUUGAUCGAGGAGAGGUCGUAGUGGCAAAAUGGAUCUUCGCGCAAAGUCGCCGACAUUUUAUGUACCGUUUUGCGUGAGAUCGCACGUGGAGGGCGUUCAUGCCGUUUUAGUCGUUCGGUGAAGGGCUCGGAUUGAAAUUCCGAUGUUGGUGGAUCUUUUUGCAAGUUGCGCCUCGGUAUUAUAGUUGCUCUUAGGUUUGCUACUAGAAACCCUAACCCUAGCCUUGCCCUAGCCCAGCCGCCUCCUCUCCUUUCCUGCACCUGCUGCACGCCCAGGCCGCGCCGACUGAGCCCCGGGGCCAACCGCCGCCGCAGCCUCUACUCUCUCUCCCUCCCUCUCUUUCUCUCUCCCUCUCCUCUCCGGUUGUGAGGAGACCGAGACCGCCGCACCUUCGGACCCUCCCCCGGAGUCACCCCGUGCUCCGGCGACUUUCCCCGCCGACCGUCGCCGUCGCCUGCGCCGCCGCAGCCGCUCCAGCCGCCUGCAGCAGCCAGGGCCGAGCCUGGCCGAGCCGGGCUGCCGCAGCCGCCAGCGCGCCGCCGCCGCCUGAUAUCUCUCCCGCCGACGUCCCCGUGCCGGGCGCCCCUUCCCGCCGGUCGCCGCCGCCCGGCGCGCAGGCGCCGCCGCCUCGGCCAGCCCGCAGCCGCAGACCCGCUCGGGCCGAGGCGAGCGUGCGACUCCACCCUCGCGUCGCCGCCGCCCUGGGCCGCCCCUGUGGCACCUCCCGCACCUCUGGCAGUCGGCCGCCUCUGCCCGAGCCGCCCCGAGCGCCGCCUGCAGCGCGGCGAGCCGCUGCAGCCCUCCCAACCGAGCCGAAGCCGCGUGCGGCCUCUUCCCAGCGCCGCCGCCACCUUGGGCCACCCCGUGGUAACUCCCCCGACCUCCUGCAGCCCGCCUCCGCCGUCCCGGAGCUCCCCGGCCGCCGCCGUGGCCGCAGCAACUCCUGGAACCCGAGCCGAUCUCGUGCGGGCUCGGUUUGCUCCGCCGCCGCCGCCGCCGCUUCCAGCCGCCACCUGAGGUGAGCACGGUACUCCUCACCUCCCCCGCACCCGUCCCUGGUCGCCGUGCGCGCCGCCGUGCCGCCGGAGGCCGGCCGGAGCAAGGUUGCUCCGGCCAAGCCCGAAAUAGGGCUAUUGUGGAUGGAUUUGUGUUCCGAGCUUCCUGAGCCUCCCCGAUCUGUACGGAAGGGAGCACGAUGAUCCUGGCAAGUUGCUGAUCAUCGUGCUCACCUUAGUUUCUGUCGGGGAGACUCCGUUCCGCUGUUUCGGCGAUGUCGCUCCGUUUCAGCCUUUUUGGCUGCUGUUUCGGGAUUGUGCUUGUUUAUCCGGCGAUUCGAGGCUGUCCUGAUGCCUCCGGAGGUGAGCACGGUGAUCGUUGGUCAGUGCUGAUCACAGUGCUCACUUCACUUUGGAUCAGAAGUGUCCAGUUAGUUCUGUGCAGCGCGAUCUUCCCUGACUGCGCGCUAUUCGCUGAACCUUCGGGUUGCUCCCGCGCUUCCCACAGUGAGCCGCUGUGCUCCGGAUCGUGAGCACGGACUCCGGUACGUCGAGACCUGUCAGUACGUGUCUCUGCGGACUUUGAAAGUCCUUGGUUUCCGUGAACGAGCCGCUUGAUCGCUCAAAUUACAUAAAAUGAUGAGAUUUUAUGUAAUUAGAGGGUCUUUUAUGCAAUUGUGCUUUGUGUGGCUACUGUGGGCAGCGUGUAUGAGUUUGUAUUGACCGCUGGACUAAUUGUCCAUGGUCCGUUAGCUUUCGCGGAAAUCGGUAGGUCGAUUUCGGUGCGUUUUUCGGCGAAAUUCGCCGAAAGAACGCGGUUUCGGUUCGGAUCCUUUCCGACGGUGUUUGGUUGCUUCGUGUUUUGUCGCUGAGCCUUGUUGGCUGGUCACCAUCGUCAUUUUGUGGGUUCGAUGAUGAUAGGUGAGCGACGGAGGGUUCCGGUGUCGAAAUAGACACUUCAGGGAACCCGGAUUUGUACGAUUAUCCGGCGAUGAUCGUAUUGUUGUGUGACCUUGUGUUCGCUGCCAAGGCAUCCAAAUUGGAAUGUUUUGGGGCAGCGGGUGACCCGUGGUACGAGUCGGUGAGUUCGGGACACUUAGUGGGUCCCGACGGCGUCCCGGUGUGGUUUUCGGGACUUCCGGUGAGUUACGGUAAUCGGUUUUGGGAAAUCGAUUACGGGGAUCCUUUGUGGGGGUUUGUGAGUCUCGUGCUUUGGGUUAGUGGAUUGGAUACUGACUUGGUGGAUCUUCUUAGGUCCGGUCGACUUGUGCGUACCCAGUGUUCCGACGCGACAGUGACAGGUGGGUACUUCGAUCCGAAGUCGGUACAGUGGUGCACGCUCGGUGAUAUUCUUCUAUCCCUGUUCUUCUGCGCUAUUUUCGUAUUAUAUAUUGAGCUUGCAUCCCCGUUGUUUCUAUUAUGCCCUAUUCAUAUGUUCUAUGCUUAGUAUCAUGUGUAGGAGUAGAGUAGUUUAUCCAUAUGUGAUAUCGGUGACCUGAUUGGUCGGUUCUCGUACUUUGUUCCGGUGACCUAAUUGGUCGGUUCUCGUACUUCGUUUCGGUGACCUAGUUGAUCGGUGCUUUUAUCUUAUAUCUGUUGACCUGGUUAGUCGGUCGUUGCAUUAUGUAUUGGGUUGGUCUGUUUCUUGACUUCUGUUGUUCGAUGACCUUUGAGGUCGGUGUACCCUGAGGGGUAGGAUUGUCGGCUGGUGCUGACGGUAGUUCUGGACUAUGUCGAAUACACUCCUGUGACCAUCGGUCGGUUCUUGCGUUCGUACUUUUAGUUGACAUCGAGCAGUAUCUACAUAUUAUCUUCAUUUACUCUGCCUGGUUGUUCUAUGUGUAGUAUCCUGUAUAGGGGUAGAGUAGAUGGCAUUCGUAUAUACUAUACUUGUGACCUGGUUGGUCGGUUCUCCUAUUUGCAUCGGUGACCUGUUUGGUCGUUCGUUACUUUCCGUACAUUGACCUAUCUCGGUCGGUUCACGUUGUUACUUGAUGACCUACACGGUCGGUAUGCCCAGAGGGGCAGUGAUUGUCGGCUGAUUGCCGACGGUUGGCUAUUGAUCAUAUCCGCAUUGAUCGCCACAGCUCGAGUGCAUUUCACGUACACCAGCGGGUUGAUCCCCCGCAGGAGGGUGUUCUUUUCCGGAAAAGUGGUCGUACAUCCGACCCGUGAGCCCAACGGUGUUCUCUUUGUGCUAGGGUUACAUGCCAGGUAUGAGCAGAUAGUGGCUUUUGCCUGAGGUCCUUAGACCGACACGGAGGUUUAGAUUGGGUACUUUUGGGACUUCUCGUCCGGUUGACGCAUAUAGCUAUAGUAGCGGUUGUUGCAUAUGUACAUCUAGUUCUUUCUUUACAGUUGUCUUGCUACUAUAGUUUUGAUAUCCUUGUAUGCUUGCAGUUGUACAUUACAAUAGCGGUAGUUGUGCUUUAUAUAUAUAUAUAUAUAUAUAUAUCUCGUUCGUUCAUUAUCGUUGCUACUGUAUUUUACUAACCCAUACUGUUGGUUAUCUCUUCCUGAUCCGGUGAGUACUCCUCGCCUUCUUCGGCUUGCGGUACCCACUGGGAGGGGAGACAUGUUUACAUGUUCUCACCUCCCCCACUGUUUUUCAGGUAUUGCAGGCAUUGGGUUUUGGGACGAGACGUGAGGUACGUUUGUAGCGGUCGAUAGAGCUUUCGACCCAGGUUAAUUCGGUUUACUUUCUUACCCUUCUUAUUUUGGCUGAUGAAUGGUCUAGUUGGUUUAUGUGGUUCAGUGUUCAUUUACAUUCGAAAAUGUGGAUUUCUGGAUUUUGUAAAAUAAAAAGUUUUCUACCCCUCGUGGUAGCAUUUUUAAAGAAUAAAGGUUCCUGUGUAGGGAACAGUUUUCAAAAGAUUUUCUAUGGAUUUAUAUUUAGACAUUGAAUGCAUAUCUGUGAUGUGAAUGGUGAAUGUAUGAAUGUAUGGUAAUUUCUAUAUUCAUAUAGUUGUGGGUGUAUCCUGUUUGUACUGUUGUACUUGUGCGACGCCGUGCAAAUACAGGGGAGACUCUGUCCGUGUGAACAGUGGAAUCUCUGUAUUUGUGGCGGGUCUGGCAUACUCUGGGGUCAGGAUUUCAAAAAAAAAAAAAAAUUUCAAACGCUAAUCCGCUGAGUUUCAAACAAAAAGGGGACCCCAAGGCGUGACAUCGGAUUUGAAAAGAGGAUUUCUCAAAAUCCGUAGGAAUAAAAUUUGACAAUCGACAAUCGAGAUCGGGUUUAUAAAAAUCAAAACUAAAAUCGAACAGUCGACAUCUCUUAGGUGCGACGUUUAUAGUCAAAGAGGUAAAAAGCAGUCCAAUAAGUAUAUAGAAUAUACAAAAUUUACGCAAUUAAAUCAUAUGGAGAAUACGUGAUAUAAAAUUAAAUAGUUCAAUUCAAACGAUAAAAAUUAGAUCAAAGCAAAUCAGAUUUAAAUAGUUUUCAUUCUAAUCAUCAAGAGAUAAGUAUUCGGAAAUAAUCAUAUAGCCAUGAACAAGAAGGUUAGAUGUUCUCANUCUGGGGUCAGGAUUUCAAAAAAAAAAAAAAAAAUUUAGACGCUUUUCCGCUAUCUUUUAAACUCAAAGGGACCCCGGGGCGUGACAUGUAUAUUAUAAGAGAUCUAAAAUGGUUUCUAUUCAGAUAGUAAAGAGUUCAAAAUAAAGUACGCUAAGAAUGAAUCAGAGAUGAUUACUUUAAGUGCAUAGAGCUCCACUGCCAUAUUUCAAAUUUUCAUAAUAUACUUAAGAAUCUUGCCUUUUUCGGAGUACUUCAUGAAAGUAGCUUGUUUAUCGGGGUGCUCACCAAAGCUUUACUGAAGCUUACAAAUUGUUGCUCUACUAUAUUCAAAAAAUUGCAAAUUGUCUUACAUUCUGGAAUUGAAUUCUGAAUAUUUUUACUAACACGCUCCUUCAUCAACAUUAAUCUAAGCCGAUUAGAGCAUUCCCACUUUCUUUGAAACGUUGUUUACUCUAGUGUCACGCCCCGGAUGUCUCGUUCUCCGGGCACGCCGACAAAUCUGCCGUAUACAAAGGAAUUUUCCCUUUAUACGAAGCGACAGCUGUACCUGUAAAUCCAACACUACUACUAACAGUAGUAGAGAGCUGCUAGAGAAAACAGAAGCUAAACCAACUGAGUUUCAUAUACAUAGUCUAAAACCAAAAUACAGAGCUACUUGCACUCGCGAGUUAAGUCUACUAUGUACAUAAACUCGAAACAAAACAUCUACCUGCAGUAGGGGCACCUCUAGCUCAGCACGACGGGUAGGGCUCUAACUCGCGACGCUCUUGCCUCGAUCCUGAUCCAUGGAAGGCGCAGCAGCCAGAACCUGUGGCUCUGCAAAACGGGGGUAACAACUGGGCGUGAGAACUACUGUAAAAGCAAGUAGUCCUCAGUGGGUGCCGCCCAAACAACAUCGGUCCACCCACUAAGUCUACAGAGGGGAGCCAGGAUAGUAGGAAAAGCAGGAAGUAAACUCUACCGCUAUCAAUCACUACACUAUCAUGCUCUACACUAACCAACUGUAGGAAAUGUCAAAUCUGACCCAAUCCAAUCGGGACUGUAAACAUACCCGUCCCUGGGACUGUGAAUACACCCGUCCCUGCCCCGUUGCGACUAUCCAGCUACCUCCACACUAACUGGUCCGUGGAGAGCAAGUCCAACUGGCAUGAGCGACACCAACGCAAAAGCACAAGCCGUCUCCGGAGUGGCACUCGUGGGCGCUACCCAACCGAGUAUGCAGCGUAUCUCUGUCGAGCUCAAACAGGCUCUGAAAAGCCAAAGUCAAGUAACCGACUCUAACUGGUCUAACAACCAACAAGUAACGUGCCCUCGGCACAAUCUGACGCCAAAACGACGAACCGGGCCCACCGUCAACCCCAACGGCGCCCAUAAGUCUGAAACAGCCCAAACGACCCUGUAAAAAUCCACUCGGCGUACCAGCACGAGCGUAAAAGUAUUCUAAACUACCUGGAGUACUUGUCUCGAGGACACUGCGACAGUACAAUUUAUAACGGCUCCUAGAGCUAAAUCAGGUAGUAUGGACAGGUGACAGGUCCAAAUCGCUAGUUUUCUCUUAAGUCAAGUUCCAAGUCCAACAUGUAUAUUCAACUAACUACUAUUCAUGCUCCAAAUUCAGAUUUCACACAAUAAACUAAUCGAUGAAUUUGAGCUAUAACAUGAUAUUCCGAAGUUGAAGCUAUACAUGUUCACCAUACAUAACUUAGGAGCAAAACCGAUGAUAAACCCACCUCGCACGCUAAUCCCUGGCAGCGAAACACCCUCCCAGCUGCGACACCACCUGCUGGGUCAAUCACACUGCUCCGAGUCCAGAAAUCGUCUAAGCUCGAGCUCUACACAACAACAUUCACCGUUUUAGUCCAGGAAUCAUAGUAGCAAGGUACAACAAGGAUUCGACAAGGCUAACCUUCACCAAAUCUAGCAAGUAAGGGCUUCGUGGAUUCCUCUCGAAGUCCCGAAUCCAACGAACCAAGUCCUGUCAAAAACCGAUGCUCCUACGCCGAGUACGAGCUGAAAUACCAACGGUCGACGGCGAAAAUAGUAAAACAGCACUUAAGCUCAACUUGUUGAUACUUGAAGCACUUGAAGCCAAUGCAACGGAACGCUCACCUCGACAGCGACUAGCACCGGCGCGACGUCAAGAACAGGAAAGACGCACCCUCGCCCGGCCUCCUCGCAAAGCUCCGGCAACAACCGUAUCCCCGAACGGCUCCGCGACACGACGUCGGCGACGAAUUCGAACUACAACAGUCUCCUUCUUGCUCGGCCGAUGCUAGAGAGAGAGAGAGGAAGAAGAACAAGUAAAACUCUCCUCUCUCAGCUCUCUACGCAUGUAAAUAACAGUAGGUGGGGUGGGGUGAUACAAACGAGGGAUAAAAUUACUCAUUUAGCCCUCUACCUACCCCCUUGUACCGGUACACGGGCUCCUGUACCGGUACAAGAGCCAACCCGAGAGCAGCUAAACCAGUGCGCGCUGGUUGUACCGGUACAGCGUGCUGGUUGUACCGGUACAGCAAGCAAAGAAAUCUGCUGUUUUGCAUAUUUCUUCGCUAUAAGCUGCCCUCGCGUCGCACGGAGUUCAUUUUGCGUCUAUUUGACGCCAACGCGACUCGGACUUGUCCCGACACUCUCCAGAGCUGUCGACAAGCCUUCACAGCUGAACACCUGGGAUCUCACAUCUAGUGUACUUUGAUUUGUAAGAGCACUAGGAUUUUCUCCCCUAGAGCAAAAUUGAGAUCUAUAUACCGUAAGGAAGUGAAUCCUCAAUACGUAAAACCGAACUUCAAUCAAAAUUGAUCGACGGUUAGUUCGGGACACUUCGGAAAGGCCGAAUGCGUCGAAAAUAACUUCUAUAGGGUGCAGAGGACCUUGAAGAGCAAGAUGUUGAAAUUCUGCAAUUUGCAAAAUUUAUACACUCUCGGGGUCCGGACCCUAGCUACAGGGUCCGGACCCCGUAGCCAAAAACUGUCCAGUUCGGGCUGUGCACUAAUUGCAUUGUUUGAGAGGUUUUCAACAAUUAUGCAUGAGUAGAGUUAAAAGAGAGGUUGUAUGAGUUCUUCCUCUUCACUCUCUCUCACUUGUAGCCCUAAAGCUCUCCCUCUCUCUCUCUAAGAAGCUCUCUCUCUCUAGGGUGGAUCAAGAGGAGAAGGAGGUGGAGAUUGGAGCUUGAGGGAAGAACACCAUCAUCAUCUUCUUCCUUUGCAUGGAGGGGAAAAACUUGUUGAGGUAAGCUCUUUGAGCUCUCAUGGUGGAUUUCUAGGGUUAUUUUUGAAUGCUCUAGAAAUGGGUUUAGAGGACUCCCUAGGUAAUAGUAACAUGCUAUUUGUUUGAAUCAAGAAGUGGUAUUGGGUUUCUUGCUAUAGUAGUAUGUUAGGGCUCGAAAAGGGGGUUUUAUUAUAUAAGAGGAUUUGAUCUAAAUUAACCCUAUGUAAACCUAAUUGCUAGGUUUUCUGAUGCGUAGGUGGCCUCGGUUUGGCAAUUCGACGAGGCUACGCGAAGAUAUUGGGAAAAAGGACCGUUUGAGCUUCGUUUUCGCUUGGAGGGCCAGGCGACGUCCAAAAAUCGCGAAAUCGGGUUUCUAGAGUGGUGACAUCACUAAAAGGUGGGGGGUGCCACCCGAAGCAGUUGAGCUGCCUUCUAUGUCUAAGAUUGCAUUAUUGGCCUUGCAUCUCUUAUGUUGCAUGUAUUGUAGGAUCGUAGUUGUUAUAUUCCUAUUCCUUAUGCACUUUCCUAGUGAUAUCAUAUUGUGAGAUGGACACAUGAUAUAGUGGAUAUGUAAGGAUUGGGUCUUGACAUUGGAAAUCCUAUAGUGCCGAAAAAAGAGAUGAACUUGAUGUUAUGUAGUGACAUAACGAGUGGCAUGUAAACAAUAUUGGUGACAUGAUGAGUGGCAUGAAAACUUAGUAUAGAAAAAACACUUAUGACAUAGUGAAUUUAGGGAUAGGUGAAUUCCCUAGCUAUGAUAUAUUGCAUGAGAACUUAGUGUGAUUGAGACACUUGACAUGGAUAAUGGGAUAGUUGAGUUCUCGAGUUGCUAUUAGCCCUAGUUGACAGGGUAUCCUCAGUUGACGAGGAUUGGAUUAUACUCACAGAGUCUGUUUUUGCUUGGGGUGGUCGCUCCACACAAGCAAUGAGCUCCGGAGUCUUCACGUGAUGGACUAAUGUACUUGUCCAGCAGACGGUGUCGUGUUUGCGAGCAAGGAGGGUCUCCUUACCUAUGAGAUGACAUGGUGAGUCAAGGGCAAACCUUCGGGUUAGUCAAGUGAUUGGGUGAACACAUGAAUGACAUUACUUGUUGAACAUAGUAGCAUGAUAGCUGACUUCAUUACUAUAUAGUUUAUGCAUUUAUUUCAGUUGAUAGAGGCAUGGUAGCAUGUUGCAGAUAUUAUUGUAUAGCAGUUGAUUUCAUAUUUAUCUAUUUAUCUAUCUGUUUAUGCCUGCUUAGACUUAGUGGGAAGAUCGGCAGAAUCGGCGGCCGAACCCACUGGGAACUAUGGAGAAUAGUUCUCAUCCCACUUUGUUGCAGUGCCGAGUUCGAGCGGACCGGGUGAGGACAGCGGUAAGGGCAUAGCGCCCUAGCAGUUAGUGGCAUUCCUUUUGCAUUAGAACCACCCUAUUUACAUGACUGUUAGAUGAUGUAUAGGUGGUGAGAUGCUUUUGGAAAGUUGGAUUUACACUUAUGUUAUGAUGAGAUGAACUUGUAAAAACUUAUGUUUACAUUUUGGAAGAUGGAAAUGUAAUCAAUUGUGUAAGUGUUGAAUGUCAAAUAUAAUAGAUAGAAUUCUCUCUUGUCUACUUGUGGUAUUGUGGUAUUACUUGCUUUAUAUCUCGCAAUGAUCAUGUAUGUUGUUUAAGUUUUUUCUGGGCAACUCGUAUGUACAUGAUUCUGUCGACCAAAUUAGCGGUCGCGGGGCGUGACAUAUACACUCUAAUGUAAGUAUGAUUCGUUCUUUCCAUUUCGAGUAAUUAAAACUACUAACCAUAGGAACAAAAAACCAAUAGGAAAAAAGGAUGAAGUUAUCAUUGAAAUAUAAAAUAAAAUACUUGUUUUAUCAAUAAAGUAGCACAUUUAAGUUUUACCAUACAAAAAUUAGAAAAUAUACUUUAUAUGAUAUUACAACAUCUCCUUUGUGAAUAGAAUUAUAAGUAUAUGUAUUUCUCUUUCCUUAUGUAUAAAUAUUAUAUGACAUCAUAACCCCUUCUUUGAGAGCAGAGUUACAAUCAUAAAUAUGCAAUUUUUUUUUUGAAAGAUAGGUAGCGCGCUACCCGCUUCGUCGAUUUCAUUUAGAAAUAAACUUAACUAAAAAUGUGAAUUAAUUUGGAUUCGAACUUUAUGACCUCGGGUACCAACCACCAAGCCCUAUGCCACUUGCUCUAGGGAUAGUCAGUAAAUAUGCAAUCUCAAAAGUUAAUUUAAACUUUCUACAGUUCAUAGCAAUCUCAAGUUUGAGGUAGACUCAUGCGCUUUCGAAAGCAUGGAGGCCUACGUUCUUAUAAGCUGUUUUCGAUGAUAGGAUAUUCGAUUCGACGAUCGACUCAAUUAGACAUGAUCUACGCUAUUAGAACUACUUAGAAACCAAAUUUCAUAAUUUUUUGAUUUGUUUGCUUAGUGACCAAGUAGUCUCAUAAAAAAUGAUUGGAAACUAGACCCAGCAAACAAAUCAAAAUGAACGACUGAAAGUAAAAAUCUCAUAAAAAAUAAUAAUAAAAGACUCAAAUUUAAAAUCGAAAGUAUUUUUCUUGCUUUUGAUGUUAAGUAAAAUUUUUUAUUACAGUUUCAUAUAAUUUGGACUCUUCUACACCAUUGAACAUACAAACGUGUCAUAUUGGCCGUCAAAAUAGUUAUUUUUUAGAUCCUUUGAUCACUUGGUAAAUGAUGUCGAAAAUUUAUGAAAUUUGGUUUCUAAAUAGUUCUAAUAAUAUAGAUUAUAUUUAACGCAGCCGAUUUCGAAUCAGAUGUCCCAUCAUCGAAAAUAACUUAAAAGCACGGAGGCCUAUGUGCUUUUGAAAGCACAGGAGACGUGCUCCUCAAGUUUUUUAUGUGUAGAAAUUAUCAGCUUUAAUCAAGCAAAUUUCUCCAAAUGGGCUAUAAGAAAAACUAUCAUCCUACACAACCUAUAUACAUCUUCAUAUUUAGACCUCCUUUAGGAGCAAACUAAACAUAAUAUUAUGGUGCAAUUUUUGCAUAUGCUUCUUUAAAACAAUUAAUUGAUUUUUUUUUUUUUUCUGGUCAGAACCACUUUGGUUUACGCUUGAACAGUUGAAAUAAUAAAUUAAUCUAACUUACUUUUUUAUAAUUAACAAGAAAAUUACCAAAACCACUAAUUUAAAGUAAAUUAAGCCAUUAUUUUUCUUAAUUAGUGCCGCUUUGGUUUGUAUCUAACCAAUCGAAAUUAUUAAAUUCAUUCAGCUAGCGUCGAGCCUCAAAUAAUCUAACAAUAAUUAUGAUUAUUUAAUUUUCGUAUUAUGUCUGAUCAAAAUAACACACUAUAAUAUACAAAAGUAUAAAUACAAUAAUUUAAGGCAUAAUAUCACAAUCAUAAUGUAAACUUUAUGCAUCCUUAUGUGACUAUAAACACAAGGUAUUUAAAAAUUAACUUUAUAACAAGUCUAUAUUGUAUACAAAAUCAAAAUUCAUAUGAACAAAUUUUUUUAUGCUCACAUCACUUCAUAAAGAGAAAUCUUCUUUAUCGGUCGAAUUUUAAUUACUAACAGCAAUAAAAAUGCCAAUUUGCAGAUUAUUAAGAGAGCUGCUAUAAUCCGUAAUUUGCAAAUUGGUCCCUAUAGUUUUAUUCCACAAAAUGGAACCAAAAUGUACCAAAAAUGCUUUCUUUGUACUUAGUAGGACCGAUGCACUCACAUUUGUCUCACUAAAACAAAAAGCAAAAUAAACCCAAUUUCUAUUAAGCGACUGUUCAUCUUCUUCCUAGACUUUUCAUAAACCCUUGAUCCCUGAGUUAUGAUUGGCUGGAUAUAGAUGAUGUGAUAUAAGUGUUACAUAGUAGACUUUCUUGUAUCCAGCCCAUCUCAUUUACAUUUGUCACACAAUUGCUGUAACAUCCCAAUGGGCCACCUUAAUAAUAAUAAUUGGACUUAAGCAUUUUAGGCUGGUGAUUUGGGUCAAACGAAUUAUAAUUGCUAGUAGAUUGAAUCGUUAUAUUUGAUAUCAAAACCAGUUCACCAGCUGAAAGUGUGAGAUGAGUCUUAACUGAGUUAAGGUCGGAAUGACAGACUAAGUCAGGGUCAGUGAUUGAUAAGCUAAGUCAGUGUCGGAAUGACAAAGACUAACGAGAUAAGUCUCACAUCGUCUGAUAAUCUUGGACUGUGUGUUUAGGACUGACAAGGACGUCAGAGCCUAAAUGGGAGAGUCUAUGACAUCCCAAUGGGCCACCAAAGUAAUAAUAGCUGGGCUUAAACAAUUUGAACAUGUGAUUUGAAUCCAACGAGUUAUUAUUGCUAAUGGGUUGGGUCGUUACAAUCGCGCUAAGUAGUGCCCGAUGAACGCGCUUAACAGGCCCUCGCAAUCUCGGGCAAUCGAGAUUCGGACCGGCGUCAGCCAUGCUUUGGGUUGGCGUCCAAGCAUCCAGGAAGAUAAACAGUGCACUUUUUUUUUUUAUUUUAUUUUCUUUUGGUCUAUUAGUUAUAAUCCGACCCAAUUUAAACUAUGCAUACAAUAAGAGCUUACUGAUUAAUAAUAAUCUUGUUAUGAUACCAAUUGAUAGAUUUAUAUUGGCAUGUAAAAAUAAUAAAAUUAAAUAUAUACAAAUCUCGGGGAUCAAAAAUAGAAUAAGAUAUAACUCACAGAGCAUCAUAAAGAAGAAAUUUUUAAUCAAUCUACGAAAGCGUGAAGUCCAGUUGCAAUAUUAACAUCACUAACGGAACUUGGAUAAUUUGAUUUCUCUUGUUGUCUUAUUGACUCUCUCGCAUGGUGAGGAACAGAUGAUAAUUUUUUAUCAGAAUGCUUGUGAGAAGGUGGCUGGAUCAAUACCUCUUUAUAUAGAGCUUAGAUCGAUCUUCCUAUCAAAAUUUGAUUAGAAAUCUAUUUAAUUUAAAUAAUUAAAAAAUAGAUAAAAUAUAUUAUAUCAAGUAGUUUUAUCUCUACUAGAUUGACUUUUAUUUAUAAUAAAAUUUGGAUUUGAGUAUGAUUAAUUGAGCCAUAUAUAUGUAAAGUUUCUAAAACGCAAAUUUUCUGUUUAUAUUCGAAACCUUGAACCCAUAUUCCACAACAAGAGACAGGAGCUCAAAAUCAAUAAAAUUAAACAUAGAAGGCUAGGGUAUUACAAUUUCUAUUUUUAGUAAAUUUGAUUUAUGUUCGAACCACUAUUUCAUCAAUCCAAACACAACCAAACUCUCUCUGUUUGGCGGCGCUUGUCGCUCGCAUCAUAAUGCGCCAUGUUCUUAACGCCAUUAAAUCGUGUCGUUUCUACAAUACGGGUUAGCUGAAUCGACUAAUAUGAUAGUAGAGUUAUAACAUAAGACAUUGAUUGCAACUUGCAGGAUCAAAAACACAAAAUAGUCUUAAAUGAUGGUCUGGCGGUCAAUUGUAAAGUAAAAUCAAGAGAUGCAAAUCAAUUCGACUUUUCAAAUAGUGUGCAAGAAUUUUCUACCAAUGAGACUGCAGGAAAUACAUGACUGUUUGUCAUCACCGAUAAAUAAUUUUCUUUGCGAUGUGACCUUCCGUUUCUUUAUUAUUACAAAAUAUACUCUUUUAUUUCUUUAUUUGACUAGCAUGAUUUUUAUUUGUUUAUGUAUUUAGUGUCCUCUUAUGUACUAAAACUUUCCUUUGUUGAUUCUAAGAGAAUAUAAAAUUAGUCAAUUAAGAAUUAAAUAAUGAAUCUUUUUAUUAUUAUUAUUUAUGAAUCACGCAUUCUUAUUGAACAAGUUUAUCUUAACCAAAAGUCCUUUUCCUUUAAAUAUUUUAGAUGCAAAAGCUUGAGUUGUUUAGUGGAGGUGCAUGGUUUUUAGACAAAUUUCAAAAAAAUAAUUUUCUAGCUGAAAAAAGUUUUUUUUUUAUUUGUUUGACCUUUGAAAUGUUUUCUUUUCGUUUUCAAACUUUUUAUUAGGAAAAUAGAAAUUAUAAAAAAAAGGUUCCCAGAGAAGAUUUUUCUUUUCUAUUUUCAUUUCGAAAUACAGUUUUCAGCGACAUUCUGACUAUAAGAAAAACGGCAUAUAGCGACACUUUUUAAUAUCGAUACAGGUAAAAAAAAUACUGCUAGCUAAAUUAUCGAUAUUUUUUAAAAGGGUUGCUAUAUGUGGGGUCGCUACAUGUGGGGCCGCCUCGAUGUCACCCACUCUUCCAGCGAUCUGUGGCGGAGGGACACGUGAUGAUCGUAGUCUUCUACGGUCCUUGCAAGAUCCUCGCGACCGAACUCCAACUGUCGAAACUCUACUUUGUCGACUACGGCGGCGAAGGAGGAGAAUGGAAGAUGGUGAUCAAUUUUUUCUUUUUUUUUUUUUUUUAUUCUUUAAGCCAGUGGGCUGGGAGGGGUUGGUUGAGUAGAGGACUUUUUUAUUUUUGAUUGGAUUGGACUUUAUAUUUAGGCUUUAGUAAAUUUUUUUUUAAAAAUUUUGGCAUAAAUCAAACACUUACAUAAAGUGUCUCAAAAAUAUAUUCCUAUAACCUAAUUCUGUUCUAGUGAGAACGAACCAAAUACCCCCUAAUAGAAAAAUUAUAUUUUGGUUAAAAUUCAUUGCAAUCAUGAGUAUUAGAUUCUAUGUAAUCUUCAACAAAAUCGGAAAGCGAGCAAUUGAUUACUAUAGAGCUUUUUAUCUAUGACUUUUAAAAAUUGAUUAAGUGCUAAUGAGAAAAAUUCUAGAAAAAUUAAUACGUGCAUUAAUUGUAUUAUAGCGCGAAGCAAAAUAUCUUAUAAAAAUGAGAAUUGCUUCAAUAGAUCGGCCAAUUUAAAUUUUGCUCAACAGGUUACCAAUCAAGAUCAAUCGUGAAGACAAUAUGGAAAAUAUAUACAAACCAAUUAUCAAAUUUGAUAACAUCCAACAAAUUUUUGUUUCCUAAUUUAACUUUGUUACGUAACAAAUUAGAUAAUGGCUAAUUUGAUAAAUGACAAAUCUUUAUAAAAUUUAGAAUUUAAAAUUUAACUUAAAGUUUAAACUUUAUAUUUAUAAUUGUAUAUAUAAAAUUCAAAUUUAAAUUUAAAUUUCAAAAAAAUUAUAUUUAAAUGAGUAAUACAUUUCAAUUCAAAUUAUCAAUUCAAUAUUAAAAUAACAUGAAAGUUAAAAAAAUAUUAGUCUAUUUUAAAUUAUAAUUUAAGUUACACUGUACUUAGAAUAUUAAAAUAACAUGAAAGUUAAAAAAAUAUUAGUCUAUUUUAAAUUAUAAUUUAAGUUACACUGUACUUAUAAACCCAACUUUUAUUAUUUAUUUAAAUAACAGGUUCUAUGUUUUAAAGGAAGUUCAAAUUGUUAAUCAACAUUGAAAAACAGCAUUAAAGUUCAAAAAUAUUAAUCGAACUUAAAUUUUAAAUCUAGAUUUAAUUUAUAUUAUAGUUAGAAAAUAAAUUUAAAGUUUCUGUUGUUUGAAAAUUAACUUUAAAUUAUAAAUCACUAAAACUUAUGACCCAAUGUCAUCACAAAUUAUUAUUAAAAGAAAUCAACCUUCAAAAUCGAUAAUCCAAUUAAAAAUUCAUUCUCUCCAUGGCAUAGUAUGCAAAACUUUUCAAAAUUGAUUCCUCAACUUUUCAAUAUUGGCCCUUUUUUUUUCCCCAAAAAGUUCAUAAUUUCACGUACUCGGUGACAGAUAAUGCUUGUGGAAUAGCAAAUCAUCUUUUUUUACACAUAAAUCUUAACCCUUUAUUGAUUAGAAAUAAGCGGCUAAAAUUAGAAUGAAGUACUGAAGUAUUGCUCUAAAUAAAUUAGCAGUAAAAUGGAAGUGAGAAAAAUUUUCUAAUAUAAACUUGUUUAUAACUCGGAGUAGAGUUAGAAUGGUUCUAGAAUAAAUCAGGACAUCUACUUUCGCGCCAUUUUCAACAAUGUAGUAUUAAAAUCGAGGAUCAAUACUAUUUAAUUUGAUUUAUACCUUUUGAAUAUGAGUCAAAUUUUGAAACCUUUUUAAUAUCAUUUGCAUAUCAUUCAAGUGGUUUCAAAAUUGACAAUGAGUAAUUUGAGGUUAGUUUAGAGCAAUAAUCACUAGAUAAAUGAUGCCAUAAAAUCGUGAAAUUCGCUUUCUAUGAAAGUUCGAAUAGUCUAAAUUGUUAUUGUUUUGAAUACCCCAUUUCGGAAUACCCCAUAAACGGAAAUAAUACAGAAAUAAACACCUAUAUUUACUGUGAGGGUAGGGAUGUCAAUGGAUACGAAUACUCAAAAUUUUAUCCGAACCCAAAUCCGAACGGGACAGAUUUACUUGAUACUAAACGGAAAUAGUUUCGAAUACGGGUAUAAAAAAUAAAGACCGGACGAAUUUGGUUAUGGCUUUCGAUAUUUUCUGUAUCCGAUCUGAACCUGAAGAAUUUGUAUUUUCAAGGUUUGGAUUUAAUGUAGUAUGCUUUGAAAUGUGGUACGUAGAAUAAUUGUUUCGGACUUGGGUUUGGAUUCGGAUUUCGGAUUUUUCGUCAGACUCGUGUUUGGAUAUGGGUUUAUAAAAUCUCGUGAAUUCAGGUUCGGGUUUGGUAGUUGCCUUCGGGUUUGGAUUUUUUAGAACCUGCCCCGAAUCCGACCAGUUGACAUCCCCGUGUGAUGGCUAGGGCAUGUCGCAGUAAAAUCAGAAGUGAGAACUUGGCUUGGUACAUCGAAAAAUGGGGCUAAUUGGGCCUAGCUUAUCGGGUCGGGCUAAGACCGGUAUAUCGGGUCAGAAAAGCUAGGUCUAAAAUUAUAGGGCCGAAAAGCCCAGGCCGGACCUGAGCCACCUAAACUUUCAAACUCUUAUAUUCACCACCCAAAUUUUCAAAAUUUUGAAUUUAACCCCUUUUAUAUUCAUAAAUGAUGUAAAAUAAAAAAAGGCAACACUGACUUGAAGGAAAUGAUCGGCCAUGGCAUUUUUCAUCGGUUUAAACUACGGCUGGCAAUCCAUCUCGUUGCUCGUGAGCCGGAUCGUAUUCGGCUCGAAAUAAGCUCGAGGUGUUCGGCUUAUUUAAUUAACGAGCCGAACACGAGCUAUAAUGAGUAUCGAGCCGAAAAAUUCAGUUCGUGUUCCGGUUGUUAAUAAACGAGCUGAAAACAAGCUAAAUUUUUCAGCUCGAAAUUUUAACGAGCCAGCUCGUGUUCAGCUUGUUUAAUAAAAUGGAUGAACACGAGUUGAUCCCAGUUCGCUCCUGUUCAGCUUGUGGUCAAGAAACAUUAAAGAAUGUGUGCUAGUCAAAUAGAUAACUAUUUUUGGUGCUAAAUAUCUCUUUUGUGGAUAAAAUCCACAGUAAUUGUCAUAUUUAACUUGAAAAAAUUAAAUGUCAAAAAUUAAUUUCUACACCGUAACACUGAUUUUUGACGGUUUGUGUUCUUUAUUAUUUAUUGACCAUUUGACUAGUAUUGGUCACUUAAAAUUCUUAAAAUAUAAAUAGAUAGUCAAUUACAAAAUUUCAAAAGUUAAGAGGAAAAAAAUAUAAAAUUUUGAAAGUUUACACGGCUAUCCGCAAUAAGUGAAAAUUCUCAAAUUCCUAUUUCCUUUUCACCGGUCGAAACCCGGUCCGGCCGACACGGCUCGGCUUUGGUCAUGCUCUAAACUUUUUUAUCUGAUGAUAUAGGUGAAAAAGUGGGGGUUUUUUUUUAUGCAUUUAGCCCCCUUAAUUUUGUUUUUAAAAUAGCUUCAGUAAAUUUAUAUUUAAAGAAAUGACUCUUUUUCUGCCACACGAGCGUCACGUUGGAUAGCGAAGGGCCGUGUUAAGUUGAAUACAGUGGUGCACUCACUCGCCGUGUUUAAGAGCAGUAGCUGGAUUACCAUAUUCAUAUCAAUCCUAAUCGCUACGUUUCGACUUAGGAAGGAUGGGAAUUAUUAGGGUGCGUUUGGUUCGCACUAUAAAAGAUUACUAGCAAUAAAAAGAUAUCCGAAAAUCUUAUUCCUAUUCAUCCUAUUACUAAGAAUGUGGCAUUGCUGUGUUUGGUUCGCACAGUUAUAUUAUUUAGUCAUGUUAUUUAAGUUUACAAAAAAUAUACAAUUAAUUUAUUUAUUUCUUAAAUUAAUUUUAGAUAAUGCCACCAAAACUUUCAACAUCUUUUUAGAAAAAGGGAGAGAGAGAACAUAGGUUAGAAAGUGGAGAAUAAUUAAAGAAAUAGGAAGAGAAAUAGAGUCGAGAUUAGAGGGAGUGAGAGAGUUGAGAUUUUAGAAAAAGAGGGGGAGAUGAGCUUAGUUUAGAGAGAGAAAAAGAGUUGAAGUUUAAAGAGAAAAAAAAAAAGUUUAGAGAGAGAUACGAGGUUAGAGUGUAAAGAAAAAUAAUACCAACUAGCCGGCAGGUAGGGAGAAAGAAAAAGAUUAGACAUAUUAUGAUUAUCCCAAUUUAUUAAUAUGAUGAUACCCACCCUUCCUCAAGAGAAUGAGAUUAGUACUUUGGGAUGAAUCUAAUUCCCAAGUAAAUUAAAUAUCACCAACUAGAUUACUUAGUGCGUUUAGCCAAAUACCGUCAUAUUUUUUUAUUUCUAUUAAAUUAUUAGAAAUUUUAAAAAGAUAACACGAACCAAACGCACCCUUAAAGUAAUACGGUAAGUAGGUUGUUUAGUCAAAGAAGGUAAAAGAUAAAUAGAAUAAGAAAUGCACAGGAAAAAAGUUUUGUCUUAUUUUAAGUACAUGUAUGGUUUUAUUCUCCUUUAAUUAAAUGGUUCUUUACACUCACGUGAUUAAAUUAAUGGCUUCUUUUAAGGGCAGGUACCCACUUUUUUCUUUUUUCUUUUUUCUUUUUUUUUAAUAUUUGUCUAAGAAUAAAAAACGUGCUUCAGAAGUAAGAAGUUGUUUAUUUAUUUUAGCAUUAAUUUCAAAUUGUCUGCAUGUGGUUUAGUUUAUUUUCACUUUGCCACCCCAUAGUUCAAAAUUUUCACUUUGCCCCCUAUGGUAUAGCUCAUUUUGACUUUACUAAUCUACAUUCCAAAAAAUUACAUUUUACCUCCAUAUGGUUUAGCGCAUUUUCACUUUGCCGCCAUGUGAUUUGUCUUAAAAAUUUGUAAUUUGCCAUUUUAUUUCAUAUAGAGUGUUUUGAUAAAAUAAAAGCCAAUAAAGGCGAAAUGAAAGGUUUUGAUCCACAGAAUGCCAAAGUGAAAAUAAACUAAACUGUAUGACUGAAAACUGUUUGUUAUUGUCAUUUAAUUAAUGGCUCUAACAGAAUAUUUUAUUAAACUUCAAUUCAAGUCGUUACGUAAUAAUCUCGAUUAAUGGCUCUAACAGAAUAUUUUAUUAAACUUCAAUUCAGGUCGUUACGAAAUAAUCUCGAUUCCGCUCGAAGUACUUUCAAGACGAAAACGAGCUGAAUUAUCGCCAUCAUUUUUAACUUUGAGCUGAACGCAUGCCGAUUGGAUUAAUUUCAAGCCGAUUAUGAACUGGCCCAGUUCGUUUGUGCUGAGCUAGUAAGGAUAAAACUUUAGCGGGGAGCUCCCUAGCAAUACCUCAUUGAAGAGCCCCCGAUCCGUCGCCACGUCUUAGUUACCCCUCCAUCAAAGAAUUCAUUGAAUACAAUUCAAAAGAAAAAUAAAGAAAAAAAUUAAUAAUUUUUGGAUACAUGCAAAACUGAUAUAUGGCAGUGAAUCGGAGGCUUUUCAACAAAACAUCAUUUAGCAGCUCUCAACUGAAGUAUAUAUAUAUAUAUAUUUUCCUCCUAAACACAAUCACCAGUUUUAUUAGGCCAAAAUAUAUGGGCACUCCCUAACUAUGAAUCUAUGCAAUUUUUAUGUGCACCAUUCAACUUUGAAACUUAUUUUUAAAAAAAAAAAUUAAACCAAAAAAACAAGAAAAUUUUCUUUUAUAAAAUAUUUCUGUAACUUUAUUUAACUUUUGCAAAAUCUUACUUAUAAUUAAAUAACAUUAUUAGUAACAGAAUCCAAAAAACUGGUGAUUGUCAUUCAAAACAUAAAAAAAAAAAAAAAAAAUUCAGGGCCCUUCUUUUCAUCUAUGACCCUUCAAAAUUUUAGAAUAAUAAAAUUUUCACUUAUCUUUUAUUUAUAUAAUAUUUUAUUAGUUUAUGAUAUAUAUAUAUAAACAGUCGUUUUUCGCAGCUUAGUGCGGAAUUUUCACUGGUUAGAAAUAUUCUCAAGUGUGUUUACUCAUCAAAAUUAGUGCAAAUUUAACAUAUCACUUCUAAAAUCUUAUUUUUUGGGUCCCAAUAAGCUAAAAUUUUAGUGAACUUAUCAUCAGGAAAAUAAUUUUUGUAAUUUCAACAAAUUUUUUAAGGCAAAAAAUAAUCAAAUAAAAGUAAUAGAUCAGACAAUAAGGAAUCAAAAAAAGCAUACUAUAAGCUAUAAAAUGAAAAGCUAUUUUCUAGAUUAAAAAUGAAAACUUAAUGGAAUAGUUUAGGGCUAAAUCAUAAUUUUAUUAACUUAAUUAGUAACUAACUCUCUUUUAAUCUGAAUAAGCUGGCAAAAAUUAACAGUAGAGCCGUUUGUGAUAAACUUAUAUAUUUAGAUCGAGGAAUAUACAUGAUAUUUUAAAUUUUGAAGGAACAUCUAUAAAAUUUUAAAACUUUACAGGAAAAUAUUUAAAAUUUGGCCCUUUGUAAAAUGACCCACAAUCAAUGGAACCACAUCAUUAAUAAAGGGAUAAUUUCAUAAGAUUCUCUGUAAAAGUACCAAAUAAUAAUAUAUAUCCGUACAAAACUUAAGUUAUCAAAUUUAUCCUCGAAAUGUCGUUCCGUCUGCAAAUAUAUAUUCUUCUGUUAAUAAAAUUUAGAUAACCAUAAGUUAAAAAAGCUAACCACAGUUAGUUAAGUGGUAAAAUAACCUUCUACUUCUCAUAUAUAUCAUUUGUAUUUUAAUGUUAAGUUUCGUCAUCUUUCUCAUCCUCUCCUCUUUACCCAUAGUGACGGCAAAACAUUCAGCGAAGGCAACGUCGAAGGCGAGACCCUUGAUCGCGAUAAAAAUGAGGUACACCGCACGUGCGGCGGCGAAGGCGAGGAAAGAGAGGAAAAGAAAGAUAGCUUUUUGCAGGAACAAAUUUGAAAGAGUAAAACAGUAAUUUUAUGUACUCACUAUUCAAAAACUAAUGGUGAAUCAAAUAGUAGGAACAUAUAUAAACAAAUUAAAUUUUUUUGGAGGAAUAUAUAGGCAAAUCAUAAAAUUUUUGAUGAAAUAAAUCUGAUAACUGAAGUUUCGUAGGGAUAUAUUUGCUAUUUAAUAUCUUUACAGGGACAUGGACGAAAUUUACCCUACAUUUAACCCUUUUAUUUUUAGUAAUGAAUUGACCUGGUUAAUUCUAGUCUUAUUGUUUGGUGGUCCUCUUAAUUAAAUUAAUUGUAAGGCCAGCUAAUAUUGUUGUACCAUCUAAUCACAUUUCUAAAUAAGUUUGAUUCUUCUGUUGGAGAGUCCCCAUCAGAGUAUGAUUGUAGAAACUGAAUGGUGACCAUCAUCUUCUGAUGAACGGCCGAUAUUGAUCGAUCGAUCGAUCGAUCGAUCACACACGUAUCUUAAAGGAAUUUUGCGACUUACUAAUUUUGCUUCUUUUUUUUUUUUUUUACAAUAAUCUCCCUAGAAUAGGAAAAAUUGAUGCUUGAACUUCUAAUGUUGAUGGGCCUAGCUAGAGUGACUCACUACCUCUCACCUCGACCUCUAAAAUCAAAUCAUGCUUUAAGAUAAGGGUUUGUUGGGUUCGCCUGUUCUAGAUUAUGGAAUCAGAAUGAAGCAUACUAAUUCAGUAACUAUUAUUUAUUUUACAGGAAUUAAAUUUUGAAUUUUAUUUUACUAUGAAAUGGAAAUAGUUCAAUUUAUGUAUAACUUAAUUUGGUUUUGAGUUUUGUAUUAGCCCAUUUCAGAAUAAGCCACUCAAAAUCUUUCUCAUAAACGCCUCUCCGUUCUCUCGCUUUAUCGCUCUCCUCUUCCUUAAUAAAAAGUCCUCUCGCUAUAUAUGGCCAAUUUGCAUAAAAAAUCUAUUGGUAGAGCUUUUGCAAAAAUAAGCCGUCUUCUUGAAUUUUACAGAUUUGGGCCGAAUUUUCAAAAAACUAACCAAAAUACCUUUAUUCCCUUAUCUCUCUCUCUCUCUCUCUCUCUCUCUCUCUCUCUCUCUCCGAAGAGGACGUCGGAGGUGGAGGCGGCCCGCCUCGCCUCUGUCCCAUGCACCCUUGCCCUCGCCUUCGCACCCUUCCUCUACCUUCCUUGCCUCUAAUCCCGCUGAGGCUGUGCCGCGACUCUUUUUUUUUUUUUCCUCUACUACCAUGCUCCACCGCCUCUCCAGUUCUUUACAAUAAUAAAGAGGGCAAUGUCACGUCAUCUUGCUCUCCUUUUUUUUUCUCGUUCUUUUUUUUUUCUCUUCGACCCACAAUCCAUCGUCUUUGCGACUGUCCAUAAUGGUAACGAGGAUAGUGCCGCAUCCUUUUUCUCCGCUGACGCCGGUGCUAGAGAAGGGAACUCGGAGAGAGUACGGGUGAGAGCGGAGCCAAGAAAAGAAGAUGCAGAAAAUAAAAAAUAAAAAGAAUAAAGAAUAAAACACAAAGAAAGAUAUUUUUUCUACAAAAAAAAUAAAAAAUCAGAGAGAAAAGAAAAAGAUGAUGAAGUUGUACUAUUUUAAGGAAACGUUGCACUGUUUCAAAAAAACGUUGCACUAUUUUAGAGAAAACUUACACUCUUUAGGAGAAAAUUUAUACUUUUUUGAACGAAAGUUAUACUCUUUAAACGAAAGUUGCACUUUUUAGACAAAACUUAUAUUAUUUCUCCUUUUCUUCCAAUUUCUUCUCCUUCAUCUUCAUUUUCAUGUGUUUCUUCUCCGCCUAUCUCUUCUUCGCCCUCCACCUCUGUCAGCAGAUCCUCCGCCCAUCUCUCUCUGACCAUCUUUUUUUUUUUUUCCUCUCCGGCGGUGGAGGAAGGUCGGAGAGAAAAAAAAAAAGAGGGUCACAGUACGGCCUCGGUGGGGUUGGAGGUGAGGAGGGUGGGGAGUGUGCGAGGAGGGCGGGGUGACACGGUCUUGGCAGGGUGGAGGCGAGGAGGGCAGGAGAGUGCGACCUUGGUGAGGGUGGAGGAUCUGCUGAUAGAGAUGGAGGGCGAAGAAAAGAUGGGCGGAGAAGAAACAGACAAAAACGAAGAGAAAGGAGAAGAAAGAGAAGGAAGAUGAGAAAUAAUGUAAUUUUUGCCGAAAGAGUGCAACUUUUGUCCAAAAAAAUAUAUUUUUUCUCUUAAGGAGUGUAAUUUUUUAUAUUUUAAUUAUUUGGAAGGGCAUAUUAUACAUCAUACCAUAUUGAUUGUCAAAAAAUACUAGGUACUUUCAAAUGCACCCUCUAAAAUUUUAAAAUAUUUGAUUCUUCUUCUUCUAAAUCUAAAAUAUCAUAUAUAAGUACAUCCUAAUUAUACAAAUUUAAAAUAAAUAUAAUUACUCUACCAGCAAUAAAAGUAAGUUAAACACUAGUUUACUCAAUAAAACAAUGAUUUUAUUUUCAAUUAAUUUUUUGUUGGGUAAUAUAUUAAUAUAUGCUAUUUUUUUUUACUUAUGAUACAUUUUUCCAUUUUAUAGCUUCUAGCAUGAUUAUUUUUAAUUAUUGAGGCUACGUUUGGUAUUAUGAUGGAAAUGAUUGUGAGGCUUUUUUUUUUUUUUGAGUAUUUCAUAGUAUAAAUAAAGUAGUACCGUUAGUAACCACAUUAUCAAACUAGGCUUUAAGUGUGUGACCUUUCAGUUUUAUUUAAUUAAUAUAUUGAAAAUUAUUAAAUUGAUAAAAAUUACUUUAGAUGAUAAGUUUGAAAGAUUAAAUAAAAUUCUAAAAAUUAUACAUCAAACUUACCUAAUUUUGAAGAGAUAUUGAUAAAAUUAUGGUAUACAAAAAGCAUGUUCAAGAAAUUAUUCCACAAAUAUUAUGCCUUUUGAAAAAUAUUAAGAAUAUUUUAAUUGGCGAGGAUUCGUUUGGUAUUGAGACUAUCUAAUACUAGUAAAUAAAACAGAGUUGAGACGAACUUUUAUAGAGAUAUAUUUCUCUAUAAUUUAGUGAGAUCAUGAAAAAUAUAUUAUAAUAAUCCGAGUGCGAUAUAUAGAAUGUGAUAUUGUAUGCGAAAAUAAAUAAAAUAUUUUUUAUCAUAUUCUCUAACCGCACAUAUCACAAUUUCCUUCCAAUCCCUAACGGAGGGCAUAGCUUGAUAAUGUGACAAUUAUUGUUCGAGAAGCAUAUCUCUAUAUUUUAGUAGGAUCAUGAAAAAUAUAUUAUAAUGAUCUGACUGCGAUAUAUGAAACGCGAUAUUAUAUAAAAAAAUAAAUAAAAUAUUUUUUAUUAUAUUUUCUGACCGCAUAUAUCACAAUCUCCUUCCAAUCCCUAACGGAGUCUAAGGCAUAGUUUGAUAAUGUGACAAUCACUCACUAUUGGAGGAGCACGCUGAUAAUGUGACAAUCACUCACUAUUGGAGAAGCACGCAAGCACUUGCUUCUCUUGUGGUGGUUGAUACUGUAAUUUUAUCACAUAAAAAGGUGAAAAUUUUAAAAAUACUCUAAUAUUUUUAAUUUUAAAAAAUUUUUAAAAGUAGAAAAAAAAAAUUUCUCCUAACCACCAUGCAUAUAUAUUACUCAUCGUUAUUCACAUAUAAGUUUUACAUUAUGUCCUAAAAUUGCACGCAUAUUAAGGCACGGGCCGACAUUAAAUAAUUUUAGAAAAAACUUCAAAUAUCCUUCUGUGGUUUAGUGCUUUUUUACUUUAGUAUCAUAUAGUUUAAAAUAUAUUACUUUAGUAGCAUAUAAUUUCGUUUUUUUCUUUUCGUUUUUCCCUCUAUCAACUCUCUGUUAAAAAAUAUAUAUAAAAAAAAUCUUCAAAUAUCCUAUGUGGUUUAUUGAAUAUUCACUUUAGUAUUCUGUGAUUUAUGAAAUUUUUUAGUUUAGUACAUCAUAGUUUUAACUUUCUCAUUUAUUUAACAAAAAAAUUAAAGGAGGAGAUAACAAAAAGAAAAAAAGAAACUACAUGGUUCUAAAGUGAUAUAAUUUAAAUCACAAGUUACAAAAGUGAUAAAACGCUAAACCACCGAUGUGGUAGGACUUUUUUACAAAAUAACCCUCUAAAUGCUUGUAAUUUGCAAAAUAAUCUUGUUAGAUUUAUAUUUGGCAAACUAACCCUCUAUUCGCCGUGUAGGAUUUUUUUUUCGAAACGCGAUGAAUCGUUCACAACAUUCUGAAAGACUCCUAGGACUUUUAAAGGCGAUUAAUCAUUCACCACAUUCAUUAAAAUGGUUAAUGAUUCACCAUCUUCGUAAUUGUUAGAAUUGGACGUAAAUUAUUUGAGAAAUAGAAAAAAACUAGCUUUUCACCCAUGCGAUGCACGGCUAAUAUAAUAAUAUAAAAUAAUAAAAAUUAUUACGUGAUGAUAAAAAAAAUAUUCUAAUUAAUAUUAUAUUUUUUUUAACAAAUAAAAAAAUAUACUAUCAAUCUUAAUUAUAGUACAUAUUAAAGUACACAAGCUAGAGAAAAAAAUUUUUGGACCAAAGUAAAUACUCAAGUAAAAUGCAAAAUUCAACCAUGCUCUAUUAUCUAUGAAUUGAUGUGCAAAAUAAUUUACAUUUACAUAUUGGUGUGCAAAACAAAAUAAUAACUAAAAUUGAUAUGAAAAAUUACAAAUGACAUUAAUAUUUAAGUUUAUAAUAGAUUAACUAAACUUUCAUAUUUGACACAAAUUAGAGUAGGCACACGUAUAUUAUUUCCCUACUGUCACAUUUAAGAUUCAAAAAUAUAUAGAUGUUGGUGUUCAAGAUAAUAUAAAAAAAAAAAAACUUUGUAUAAAGAUAGAAAGUUACAGGAGUGACAGUAGGUAAAUAAUGUGUUCUAUUUUAAAACAUUAACAUUUAAGAGCUAAGAAAAUUACAGGAAUGACGUGAGUUUUAAAUUUUUUCCUCUUUCCAAAAAUGUCUCUAUCCUUUUUUACUAAUAUUUUUAUGUUCAGAAAUUUUCAACCAAUCAUUUCAAAUAAUUAACUAAGUAAUAAUUUAUUCCCAAAUAAAGAUAAAUAUUUUUCUUUUCAUGCGUAAUAUUCGCACCCGCCAAUUCUUUCGCAACGUAAUAUCCGUAAAUUUCUCAAAUAUCUCAAUAUAAUUAUAUGUGACUUUGAAAUAAAAUUUCCUUCAGUGUAGAUAAUUUUUAAUAAUAUAGUAAAAGAUAUUAAUUUUUUAUAAAAGCGUGAGUUUUGAAUUUUUUUCUCUUUCUAAAAUUGUCUCUAUCCUUUUUUUACUAAUAUUUUUAUGUCCAUAAAUUUUCAACCAAUCAUUUCAAAUAAUUAACUAAGUAGUAAUUUAUUCCCAAAUAAAGAUAAAUAUUUUUAUUCUCACGCAUAAUAUCUGCACUGGCCAAUUCUUUCGCAACGUAAUAUCUGUGGAUUUCUCAAAUAUCCCAUCAACAUAAUUAUAGGUGACUUUGAAAUAAAACGCCUUUCAUUAUAGGUGAUUUUUAAUAAUAUAGUAAAACAUAUUAAUUUUUUGCCAUUAGAUUUUAUCUAAUGAUUGAAAAUAAAAAUAUCUGUUUCUUUUGUGACAAUAUUAUCCUCGUAUUUAUAUCCUAUUUUCUAUCUACGCGUUUCUCAAAUAUUUUUCUUCUUACGCGUAAUACCCGCCAAUUUUUCGCAACGUAAUAUCCGUGAAUUUCUCAAAUAUCUCAGUAAUCCACGUACCAUUUGAAUUUAAUAAUAUAGUAAAUAGAAUAAAUACGAUGACACGUGGAAAUCAUAUAGAAAGCCACAUUAGAAAAAAUCUAAUUUUGUUUUCCAUAAUGUAUUAUUUCCGUAAAAAAAAUCUAAUUUUAUUUUUCCUAAAGUAUUAUUUUUUAAAAAAAUCUAAUUUUAUUUUUCGUAAAGUAGAAAAUCUAUAUUUGAGCUUGACACGUAGAUUAUUUUUUCUAAAUUAGUAAUAUCCGCACCCGCCAAUUCUUUCGCAACUAAUAUCCGUGAAUUUUUCAAAUAUCUCAACAUAAUUAUAGGUGACUUUUAAUAAUAUAUAAAAGAUAUUAUUUUCUAAAAAAUUUUAAUUUAAUUUUUUCUAAAGUAGUAAUAUCCGCACCGGCCAAUUUUUUCUCAACGUAAUAUACGUGAAUAUUAUUUCCUUAAAAAAUUCUAAUUUUAUUUUUCUUAAAAUAGUAAUAUCUACACAACAUAAUUAUAGGUGACUUUAAAAUAUUUUCUAAAGUAGAAAAUCUAUAUUUGAACUUGACAUGUAGAUUUUUUACAUAGUACGUGAUAUUAGGUGACUUUGAAAUAAAAUCCCCUUCAUUCAUUAUAGGUGAUUUUUAAUAAUAUAUUAAAAGAUAUUAUUUUCUGAAAAAAAUUAAUUUUAUUUUUUCUAAAGUAGUAAUAUCCGUACCCGCUAAUUCUUUCUCAACGUAAUAUUCGUGAAUAUUAUUUUCUUAAAAAAUUCUAAUUUUAUUUUCCUAAAGUAGUAAUAUUCGCACAACAUAAUUAUAUGUGAUUUUGAAAUAUUCCCUAAAGUAGAAAAUUUAUAUUUGAACUUAACACGUAGAUUUUUUAUAUAGUAAAAGAUAUUAUUUACUUAAAAAGUUUAUUUUUAUUUUUUCUAAAGUAGAAAAUCUAUAUUUAAACUGACACGUGGCAUUGUAAAGCUGAAAAGUAAAGAUCAUAGGCUUCUUAAUCAAAUUCAUUAAUUUGAUUUAAUUAUAUUCCUCUAUAUUUAAUUAUAUUUAAUUAGUAUAAAAAUCUAUAAAAUUUCCUAAUAAUAUAUUAAUUUUAUUUCUUAUUUACUAUAAUAAUAAGUUGUAUUGGGAAAUAAUAAUUAAUUAUUAUUUCCUACAUAUUAUAAUAAUUCAGAAAAAUCUAUUUCUUAUUUACUAUAAUAAUUAGAAAAUAAUAAUUCUUUAUUAUUAUUAUAUUAUAGAAAAAUCUAUUAAGCGGCAAGAAUUUAAUAUUAUAAUAUAUUAAUUUUAUUUCCUAAUUUAUUAUAAUAUGGACUAUGGAAUAAUAAUAAAAAUAAAAGUUAUAGAUUUUUUCCUAAUUAAUAAUUAUUCCAUAUACUAAUUUCCUAAUUAAUAAUUAUUCCAUAUAGUAAUUUCCUAAUUAAUAAUUAUUCCAUAUACUAAUUUCCUAAAAAAUUAUUAUUAAUUAGGAAAUAAAAUUAGUAAAAUUAGGAAAUAAUAAUAUGGAAUAAUUANAAAGUAGAAAAUUUAUAUUUGAGCUUGACACGUAGAUUAUUUUUCCUAAAGUAGUAAUAUCCGCACCCGCCAAUUCUUUCGCAACGUAAUAUCCGUGAAUUUCUCAAAUAUCUCAACAUAGGUGACUUUUAAUAAUAUAGUAAAAGAUAUUAUUUUCUGAAAAAUUUUAAUUUAAUUUUUUCUAAAAUAGUAAUAUCUGCACCCGCCAAUUUUUUCUUAACGUAAUAUAUGUGAAUAUUAUUUCCUUAAAAAAUUCUAAUUUUAUUUUUCUUAAAAUAGUAAUAUCCACACAACAUAAUUAUAAGUGACUUUAAAAUAUUUUCUAAAGUAGAAAAUCUAUAUUUGAACUUGACAUGUAGAUUUUUUACAUAGUAAAUGAAAUAAAAUUAAUAUAUUAUAAUUAUGUUGUGUGGAUAUUGGAAUAAUUAUUAAUUAGUAAAAAUCUAUAACAUUUAUUUUAUUAUUAUUCCAUAUUCCAUUUCUAUAUAGAUUUUUCUAUAUAGAAUAAUAAUAAAGAAUUAUUAUUUCCUAAUUUUUAUAGUAAAUAGAAAAUAGAUUUUUUUAGGAAAUUUAUUUACUAUAAUAAUUCGAAAAAAUCUAUUUCCUAUAAUAUGGACUAUGGAAUAAUAAUAAAAAUAAAAGUUAUAGAUUUUUCCUAAUUAAUAAUUAUUCCAUAUACUAAUUUCCUAAUUUAUAUUUGAGGAUGACACGUGGCAAGCACAGAGGGUGCCAUUAGUUUUAUACUAAUUUCCAUAUGCUAAUUAUUCCGUAUACUAAUUUUCUAAUUAAUAAUUAUUUUCUAAUCUAUUUACUAUAUACUACAUUUGAAGAUGACACGUGGCAAGCCUAGAAGGUGCCACGUGUCAGUUUUAUACGAAGUGAUCACCCAGGGUUCUACUUUAGUAUAUAGUAAAUAGAUGAGGUUGUUAGAAUUAGACGUGAAUUAUUAUAAUUUUAAUUAUUUGAUUGUUAAAUUUGUAUUGAUAGAUUAUUAGAAUUUUCAGAUUGUUUUAAGAUUAUAUGUGAUUUGUCGAAAUUUUUAUGUAUUUGUUAGAAUUAUAUAUGAUAUAUAGAAAGAAAGGGUAAAUAAACAAAAGACGAUGAAUGAUUUAUAGAUUUGAUGGAAAAUUAAAAAUGUAGUAAAUCGUUAACCGUCUUUAUAAAAGAAAUGAAUUGUUCAUCGUUUUUAAGAAAAGAAUUUAACGUGACAAAAAAAAAAAAAUUAUAAAGAAAUUUAUAAAAUUAUUUAUUUAAUUGAAAAUUUUAAUAAGGUGAAAAAAAGCAGUCCACGUAAGCCCGCAAAAUUCUUCUCAGGUGAGUAGUGGGUGUGCCGUGUUCGUCGUUCGUUUGCCCUGCGUGUCGGUUCCACCGUCCCUUUCGGAUCAGACGGCCGACAACGGAGCCGACGAUGGCGCACAAAAAUCGCCACGUGGACAGCUCGCUCGGAGUCGAUCGGGACCGUCGGUGGCAUACUAGUAAUCAGCCCGCACAUUCCGACAAGAAUUAUAUUUUAGCUUUAUGAAUUAUUAUUAUUUUAAAUUUAGUAUAUUUGUUUUAUAAUAUAUAUAUAUAUAUAUAUAUAUAUAUAUAUAUAUAUAUAUACUUAUAAUGAUAUUAAAAUUUUAUAUUUUGAAAUUUAGUUCUGCCGACAGAUCCAAUUUUUAGCAAAAAUAAAAAAAUCCUCUCCCCCUAAAUAGCAAAAAAAAAGAAAAAAAAAAAGAAGGUCUACAGCAAGUCUUUUCUAAAACUUUGAUUAUAUAUAAUAAUUAAAAUUUUCAAAGAAAUUUGCCAGAUUCGUCCAAUUGAAAGAUUUCCGAUGGCGUCUUACCGACAAGCUUCCGAUUCACUUUUUUUUAAUCCAUCAAUUUAGAGUUUAAAAAUUAUUUUUAAAUUUUAAUAUUUUAAAAAAUUUCUAACGAAUAUUGAAUAGAGGCAAAACUGACAACGAGACGUGAUUUGGGAAUGUUUUGUCCCUCCUACACCUUAAUUAAUUUUUUUUUAAAAAAUGCACAUUUCUCUGUCCUAAUUAACUAAACACUCCAAACCUACCUCUUUCAACUAAUUAGUUAGAUUUAAUUUCCACACCCACCUCUUUCAUCUUAAUUAAUCAAAUUUUCCAAACCCUUCUUAAUUAUCAUAUUAAUUAAAAUUUCCCAAAACUAUCUCUUCCAUCUAAUUAGCUAAACUCUAUUUCACCUAAUAAACUAAAAUCUAAAACCCACGAUCAUUUCUCUCUCUCACUUAAGAUAAUGGAUAAAAAAUUUAUGAGCAGAUUCUCUGUGGUGAUACGUUACAUCCAUCCAUCGUUCAUUAUACUUUGAGGCUUCGUUUGGUUCACGAAUUAGUAGAAACUGCUUAUAUCGGUGAUAGAUACAAGCAUAGAUUUUUGUAAGAACAAGAAUAAUUUUUUGUUUGGAUGAAAAUGUGAGUAUGAAUUGGAACUAGAAAAAUUGUGUUUGGAUGGUUAUUGAAAAUAAGAGAAAUAGUUGAUGGUUAUAGAUAAAAAAUAAUGAUAUUACCCCUCUCAUUAUAUUUGAAUUUUAAAUUUUAAAUUUUAAAUUUUAACUUUUAAAAAUUAAAAAUUAAAAAUUAAAAAUUAAAAAUUAAAAAUUUAAUUUUCAAUAUCAAAUUUUAAAUUUAAACCAAAUUUAAAUUUAAAAGAUAUAAAAUAUCAAAUUUAAAAUUAAAAAAUUAAAAAUAUCAAAUUUAAAAUUUAAAUUUUAAAAUUUAAAAUUAUAAAUUUUAAUUUUUAGAUUAUAAAUUUUAAAUUUUAAAAAUUUAAAUUUAAUUUUAAAACAAAAAAUUCUCUCUCUCUCCUCAUCAUCUCUCUAGGGGGGUGUACGUGGAACAUCGAAGUUGUUCACACCCAAUGAAUCUUAAUUUGGGUUAAAAGUGGGAUAACCCCUUACCCCUCCUUGUAUCCCAAUCCAAACGCUCCUGAACAUUUUUAUAUAUAUAUAUCAGGUGAUUGAACAACCAAAUAAGACCGUCUAAUUUGUAGACCUCUCCUCAUGCACUUGGCAAAAUAAACUUGACGUCUGAACAUAAUGGAUGGCUUCUUCUAAUCCUUGGAUAUUCCAAACAAAAAUCGACCCCAUUUGGCAGUUAAUAUGAAUGUUUACUUUGACUUAAAUUUAAUGCAGGAUUAUUUUCAUGCAGACUCGAAUUUAUAAUCACUUUUUUUUUUUUUUUUGAAGAAAGGUAGGCAUGCUACCGCCCCGUUCGCCUUAUUUAUUAAAGAAAUAAACUUAUGCUGAAAAACGAAAUGGAAUCAACUAGGAUCGAACUUUGGUCUCGGUACCAAUCAUCAAGCCCUUAUUUGCACAUCUUGCGCUAAGGGACUGUCGGUGAAUUAUACAAUCAACUUUUGCUUUCAAUUUAAUUUAUUGUCUAUGUAUGUAAUUUGCAAGAUAUCGGAUCUGUUAAAAAAAUGUGAAUUCCAAAGGACGGUUUAAAUUUCAAAUCUCUAUUUUUGAUUUUCAUUUCAAUGAACAUACUCGGAGUCAUUCUAAAUUAUUUGGAUUCAAAGAUAAAUCUCUUUCUAAACUAUAAAUGUUUUUUUUAUUUUUUACACAUUUGUAUUGGCGCGCAUGUAUGUGUAUUUUCUUUAUUGUUUUCAGCAUUGCGCAUGUAAUUGGCUUCCAAAGCAGUUUCUAUUUGAUAUGAUUUUCAUUUCUCUUUUUCAAAUCAGUGAAAAUCAUCGAUCAUUAAUGAUCAACAUAUUUUAUGACUAUCAUUCGAAGAUUCUAGAUAAAAAAAAAUAUUUAUUAUUUUUUUUUUUUGAGAGAAAGAUAGCAUGCUACCCGCUUCGUUUAUUUCAUUUAGAAAUAAACUUGGCUAAAAAUGUUAAUCAACUAGGAUUCGAACUUAAGUCUCGGGUAUCAACCACCAAAUCCUUUUACCACUUGCGCUAGGGACGGUCGGUUUAAAAAAAAAAAAAAAAUUAAAAAAAAUAUUUAUAGUUAUGGCUAGUAUUUAUAGUUAAAAAAAUAAUAUAGUUAUGGCUAGUAUUUUUUGGUUUAUUUCAUUUUUUUAUUGUUGUGAUGAGAAAUUUUAUCGUUAAUUAUAAUUAGACUAAUAUAAAAUAAAUUUAAAAAUAAAUUUAAAUUAAAUUUUCAUAAUGUCACAUGGCAGUUUAUGCAUCCAUAAAACUAGGCUUUUAUACUUUCGAAAGUACGAAAACCUACGUGCUUAUAAAUUAUUUUCAAUGAUGGGAUAUCCAAUUCGAUGAUUGGUUUUAUUAGGUAUGAUCUACGCUAUUAGAACUAUUUAGAAAUCAAAUUUUAUAAUUUUUUGACUUUAUUUACCUAGUAAACGAAUAGUUUCAAAAUGAAUGAUUGAAAAUAAAAAUCGCACAAAAAACGAUCUUGACGUUAAGUAGAAUUUUCUAGGAUGUCACAGACUCCUUCAGUUUAGGGGGUUUAGGCCGUGACGUCCUCGUCAACACUGGCUUAGUCUGUCAUUCCGACCUUGGCUCAGCUAAAACUUAUCUCACACUUUCGACUAGUAAACCGGCUUUGAUACCAAAUGUAACGACUCAACCUACUAACAAUAAUAAUUUAUUGGGCCCAAACCACCAACACAAAAUGCUCAAACUCAGUUAUUAUUAUUAGGAUGGAGUUCUCUUCUAUACCCAAUGACAAUUGCAUUUCUAUCCGAUGUGGGACUAUUAGGGUGUCACACUCUGAUAUUUUUGUAAAGGGAAAACUUCAAAAACCCCCUCUGUGGUUUCAUAGUUUCUCACUUUGCCCCCCUGUGGUUUAAAAUGUAUCAAAUUGCCCCCAUGUGGUUUUGUUUUUAUCUUUUCGAUAGCUUUUUCGUUAAUAUUUCAUUAAAUUAUAUACAAAAAACUUUAGAUACCCAUCUAGAUUUAUCAAAUAUUCACUUUAGUACCCUUUAAUUUUAACUUUAUCACUGAUUUAAGGAAAAAAAAAUAAUGAAAUUGAUAUGAAAAAGAGAAAAAAGAAACCACGGGGGGGCAAAUUGAUACAUUUUAAACCACAGGGGGGCAAAGUGAGAAACUACGAAACCAUAGAUAGGGUUUUUGAAGUUUUCCCUUUUGUAAAUAAUGUCGAAAAAUUAUGAAAUUUGGUUUCUAAAUAGUUCUAAUAGUGUAUAUCAUACAUAACGGAGUCGAUCGUCGAAUCAGAAGUCCUAUCAUCAAAAAAGGAUAAUUUCCUAUAUAUCCUUCAAAACAUCGAAAAUAUCUUAUUUACCUCUACUUUUUUUUUUUUUCUUUCCAAUAUACCUUUCAUAUGUUACUCUGUUAUUCCAAAAUACCCUUAGGGUGCGUUUGGUUCGAGUUAUCCUGGCAGGAUUACAGGCAAUCCUGCCAAGAUAACUGUGUUUGGUUAAUCUGCUAUGUAAUCUAGUCGUUAAUGUAGCAUUACAAAUCGAGCAGGAUUACAUUAAAAAUAUUAACGGGAGGGGGGUCAUGUAUCUUGCAUUACUGAAACCCGUUAAUACUACAUAUUAUGUAAAAUGACAAUUUUACCCUCCAACAACCCCAAAUCUAAUUAACAGCAUUAUUUUCAUCACUCUCGCCUUCCCCCUUCUCUCUCGCACGCCGCUUUCUCUCGCUCUCUCUCUCUCUCUCUCGCACGUCUCUCUCUCUCUCUCUCUCUUUCUCUCUCUCUAUCUCUCGCUCUCUCUCUCUCUCUCUCGCACGUCUCUCUCUCUCUCUCUCUCUUUCUCUCUCUCUAUCUCUAUCUCUUUCUUUAUCUCUCGCACGAACACCUAUCAUCUUCUAUUGCGUCGUCCUCCCAAGCAAUCAUCACGAUCUCCUUCCCUCCAUUCGUCAUUUUCGAAAAAAAAAAUUCAAAUGACCACAACAAGGGCAAUUUUGGAAAAAAAUUAUACUUUUAUAUUAGGAUUGCUAAAUUUUAUAAACUGAACCAAACGUAUUAAUGGUAUAAACACUGUAAUCUAGUAUUACAUUACUACAUUAAACCAAACGCGCUAAUGCAGCAUCAGUAGUAAUCUCACGCCGAAAUCCAAGAUACCUGGAUAUGUCGAGAUACUUUGUAAUAUUAGAUAACUCGAACCAAACGGGCCUUAGGGUGCGUUUAGUUCGCAUUAUGAAAGAUUACUAGAAAUAAAAGAUAUCCAAGAAUCUUAUUCAUAUUCAUCAUAUUACUAAGAAUGUGGAAUUCCUGUGUUUGGUUCGCACGGUAAUAUUAAUUAGCCAUGUUAUUUAAUAUUACAAAAAAUAUACAAUUAAUUAAUUAAUUAAUUUAUUUAAUUUAAAUAAUGUUACCAAAAGUUUCAACAUCUUUUUAGAAAAAAGGAAGAGAGAGUAUAAGUUAGAGAGAGAGAGCAUAAUUAAAAAAAUAGAAAGAAAAAUAUAGUCGAAAUUAGAGGGAUAGAGAGUUGAAAUUUAGAAAGAGAGAGAGAGAAAGCUUAGUUUAGAGAGAGAAAAAAAAGUUGAAUUUUAGAGAGAGAAAUAAGUUUAGAGAGAGAUAUAAGGUUAGAGUGUAAAGAAAAAUAAUAUCAAUUAGUCGGCGGGUAAGAAGAAAGAAAGAGAUUAGACAUAUUAUGAUUACCCCAAUCCAUUAAUAUGAGGAUA